RNAcentral lists this ribosomal RNA (441 nucleotides) under uncultured bacterium. Its description in RNAcentral is "partial 16S ribosomal RNA". It matches the Rfam family "Bacterial small subunit ribosomal RNA", at positions 339 to 795 of the family's 1533-position model. The record is from RNAcentral.
CUACGGGUUGCAGCAGUGAGGAAUAUUGCACAAUGGGGGGAACCCUGAUGCAGCAACGCCGCGUGGAGGAUGACGCAUUUCGGUGUGUAACUCCUUUUAUAUGUCAAGAAAAUGACGGUAGCAUAUGAAUAAGCACCGGCUAACUCCGUGCCAGCAGCCGCGGGUAAGGUACGGAGGGUGCAAGCGUUACUCGGAAUCACUGGGCGUAAAGGACGCGUAGGCGGGUUGGAAAGUAAGGUGUGAAAUCCUACAGCUUAACUGUAGAACUGCACUUGAAACUUCUAAUCUAGAGUAUGGGAGGGGGAGAUGGAAUUAGUGGUGUAGGGGUAAAAUCCGUAGAUAUCACUAGGAAUACCUAAAGCGAAGGCGAUCUCCUGGAACAUUACUGACGCUAAGGCGUGAAAGCGUGGGGAGCAAACAGGAUUAGAUACCCCUGUAGUC